RNAcentral lists this transfer RNA (72 nucleotides) under Ovis aries (sheep). It matches the Rfam family "tRNA". Rfam says of the family: Transfer RNA (tRNA) molecules are approximately 80 nucleotides in length. Lineage: Eukaryota; Metazoa; Chordata; Mammalia; Artiodactyla; Bovidae. The record is from Rfam by way of RNAcentral.
UUCCUGGUGGCUCAGCCGGUAGAGAAUCUGCCUGCAGUGCAGGAGAUCCAGGUUCAGUUCCUGGGUUGGAAA